AGGACGAACGCUGGCGGCGUGCCUAAUACAUGCAAGUCGAACGAGACUUUCCUCGGUGGUAACACCUUUGAUUGUCUAGUGGCGAACGGGUGAGUAACACGUGAGAAACCUGCUCUGAAGACGGGGAUAACAGAAGGAAACUUCUGCUAAUACCCGAUACCCCCACCGGGUCGCAUGGUCUGGUGAGGAAAUGGAUUCCGCUUCAGGAGGGUCUCGCGGCCUAUCAGCUUGUUGGUGAGGUAAUGGCUUACCAAGGCUUGGACGGGUAGCUGGUCUGAGAGGACGAUCAGCCACACUGGGACUGAGACACGGCCCAGACUCCUACGGGAGGCAGCAGUAAGGAAUAUUGCGCAAUGGGCGAAAGCCUGACGCAGCAACGCCGCGUGCGGGAUGAAGGCCCUCGGGUUGUAAACCGCUUUCAGUAGGGAAGAAAAUGACGGUACCUACAGAAGAAGCCCCGGCCAACUACGUGCCAGCAGCCGC
RNAcentral lists this ribosomal RNA (483 nucleotides) under uncultured bacterium. Its description in RNAcentral is "SSU rRNA". It matches the Rfam family "Bacterial small subunit ribosomal RNA", at positions 26 to 518 of the family's 1533-position model. The record is from RNAcentral.